GCCUACGGGGCGCAGCAGUAGGGAAUUUUCGUCAAUGGACGCAAGCCUGAACGAGCAAUGCCGCGUGAACGAGGAAGGUCUUCGGAUCGUAAAGUUCUGUUGAAGGGGAAAAAGAGCGGAGAGAGGAAAUGCUUUCUGAUUGAUAUUACCCUUCGAGGAAGUCACGGCUAACUACGUGCCAGCAGCAGCGGUAAUACGUAGGUGGCGAGCGUUAUCCGGAAUGAUUGGGCGUAAAGGGUGCGUAGGCGGCCUGCUAAGUCUGGAGUGAAAGGUACCGGCUCAACCGGUACAGGCUCUGGAAACUG
RNAcentral lists this ribosomal RNA (305 nucleotides) under uncultured bacterium. RNAcentral describes it as "bacterial SSU rRNA". It matches the Rfam family "Bacterial small subunit ribosomal RNA", at positions 337 to 635 of the family's 1533-position model. The record is from RNAcentral.